RNAcentral lists this ribosomal RNA (279 nucleotides) under uncultured bacterium. RNAcentral describes it as "partial 16S ribosomal RNA". It matches the Rfam family "Bacterial small subunit ribosomal RNA", at positions 506 to 784 of the family's 1533-position model. The record is from RNAcentral.
UGCCAGCCGCCGCGGUAAGACGGAGGGUGCAAGCGUUAUCCGAAUUCACUGGGUUUAAAGGGUACGUAGGCGGUCUUGUAAGUCGAUGGUGAAAACUAGCAGCUCAACCGUGGAAGUGCAUUUGAAACUGGAUGGCUUGAGUACUGGAGGGGGUGGUGGAAUUUCAAGUGUAGCGGUGAAAUGCGUAGAUAUUUGAAGGAACACCAGUGGCGAAGGCGACUUCCUGGGCCAAUACUGACGCUGAGGUGCGAAAGCGUGGGGAGCGAACAGGAUUAGAUA